RNAcentral lists this small nuclear RNA (72 nucleotides) under Canis lupus familiaris (dog). RNAcentral describes it as "U4 spliceosomal RNA". It matches the Rfam family "U4 spliceosomal RNA", at positions 1 to 72 of the family's 138-position model. Rfam says of the family: U4 small nuclear RNA (U4 snRNA) is a component of the major U2-dependent spliceosome. The structure of U4 snRNA from yeast and human has been reported. Lineage: Eukaryota; Metazoa; Chordata; Mammalia; Carnivora; Canidae. The record is from Rfam by way of RNAcentral. RNAcentral also lists the same sequence under 1 other name.
GGCUUUGUGCAGUGGCAGUAUCAUAGCCAAUGAGGUUUAUCCAAGACGCGAUUAUUGCUAAUAGAAAUUAAG